RNAcentral lists this ribosomal RNA (253 nucleotides) under uncultured bacterium. RNAcentral's name for it is "partial 16S ribosomal RNA". It matches the Rfam family "Bacterial small subunit ribosomal RNA", at positions 524 to 776 of the family's 1533-position model. The record is from RNAcentral.
UACGUAGGCAGCGAGCGUUGUUCGGAGUUACUGGGCGUAAAGCGUGCGUAGGCGGUGUCCUAAGUCUGUUGUGAAAUCUCCCGGCUUAACCGGGAGGGUGCGGCGGAAACUGGGAUGCUGGAGUGCGGGAGAGGUAAGCGGAAUUCUCGGUGUAGCGGUGAAAUGCGUAGAUAUCGAGAGGAACACCUGCGGCGAAGGCGGGUUGCUGGGCUGACACUGACGCUGAGGCGCGAAAGCUAGGGGAGCGAACGGG